RNAcentral lists this ribosomal RNA (192 nucleotides) under uncultured bacterium. RNAcentral describes it as "partial 16S ribosomal RNA". It matches the Rfam family "Bacterial small subunit ribosomal RNA", at positions 335 to 524 of the family's 1533-position model. The record is from RNAcentral.
ACUCCUACGGGAGGCAGCAGUGAGGAAUAUUGGUCAAUGGGCGCAAGCCUGAACCAGCCAUGCCGCGUGCAGGAUGACGCAUCUAUGGUGUGUAAACUGCUUUUGUACAGGAGGAAACAUCCCGACGAGUCGGGACUUGACGGUACUGUAAGAAUAAGGAUCGGCUAACUCCGUGCCAGCAGCCGCGGUAAU